UACGUAGGGUGCAAGCGUUGUCCGGAUUUAUUGGGCGUAAAGAGCUCGUAGGCGGUCUGUCGCGUCGGAUGUGAAAUCCCAGGGCUCAACCCUGGGCCUGCAUUCGAUACGGGCAGACUAGAGUAUGGCAGGGGAGACUGGAAUUCCUGGUGUAGCGGUGAAAUGCGCAGAUAUCAGGAGGAACACCGGUGGCGAAGGCGGGUCUCUGGGCCAAAGCUGACGCUGAGGAGCGAAAGCGUGGGGAGCGAACAGG
Molecule: ribosomal RNA, 253 nt
Filed under: uncultured bacterium
Lineage: Bacteria
Description: partial 16S ribosomal RNA
Rfam family: Bacterial small subunit ribosomal RNA
Source: RNAcentral